RNAcentral lists this ribosomal RNA (457 nucleotides) under Streptococcus pneumoniae. RNAcentral's name for it is "bacterial SSU rRNA". It matches the Rfam family "Bacterial small subunit ribosomal RNA", at positions 28 to 471 of the family's 1533-position model. The record is from RNAcentral. Lineage: Bacteria; Bacillati; Bacillota; Bacilli; Lactobacillales; Streptococcaceae.
GACGAACGCUGGCGGCGUGCCUAAUACAUGCAAGUAGAACGCUGAAGGAGGAGCUUGCUUCUCUGGAUGAGUUGCGAACGGGUGAGUAACGCGUAGGUAACCUGCCUGGUAGCGGGGGAUAACUAUUGGAAACGAUAGCUAAUACCGCAUAAGAGUGGAUGUUGCAUGACAUUUGCUUAAAAGGUGCACUUGCAUCACUACCAGAUGGACCUGCGUUGUAUUAGCUAGUUGGUGGGGUAACGGCUCACCAAGGCGACGAUACAUAGCCGACCUGAGAGGGUGAUCGGCCACACUGGGACUGAGACACGGCCCAGACUCCUACGGGAGGCAGCAGUAGGGAAUCUUCGGCAAUGGACGGAAGUCUGACCGAGCAACGCCGCGUGAGUGAAGAAGGUUUUCGGAUCGUAAAGCUCUGUUGUAAGAGAAGAACGAGUGUGAGAGUGGAAAGUUCACACUG